RNAcentral lists this ribosomal RNA (253 nucleotides) under uncultured bacterium. Its description in RNAcentral is "partial 16S ribosomal RNA". It matches the Rfam family "Bacterial small subunit ribosomal RNA", at positions 524 to 776 of the family's 1533-position model. The record is from RNAcentral.
CACGUAGGGUGCGAGCGUUAUCCGGAAUUAUUGGGCGUAAAGAGCUCGUAGGCGGUUUGUCGCGUCUGCCGUGAAAGUCCGGGGCUCAACUCCGGAUCUGCGGUGGGUACGGGCAGACUAGAGUGAUGUAGGGGAGACUGGAAUUCCUGGUGUAGCGGUGAAAUGCGCAGAUAUCAGGAGGAACACCGAUGGCGAAGGCAGAUCUCUGGGCAUUAACUGACGCUGAGGAGCGAAAGCAUGGGGAGCGAACAGG